CUGGCGGGCCCCGUUGGAGACCGAGGCGGUCCAGUUGUUUAAGAAGGGGAUCCCGAGGCCUGGACGAGCAGAAGGAAACCCUAGCCGCCGUCGUCUUCCUCUUCCUCUUCGUCGAAGCCAUCUUCUGGUCUGGUGCUGUUGGUAGCUAUGGCGCUGCGCACCGUUGCCGCGAAGCUGAAGGCCCCCGUCGCCUCUCUCAAGCAGGCUUGGGCGGUCUGCCGUCCUCAGGCCAAGGGUCCCAAGCUCUCUAAAGGUCUUGACUUGGAUCUUUCGGAUCCACACAUCCGCCGGGUUUUCGACGAGAACACAAAGCUAUUGAACAGGAAGCGGACGAGGGAGACUGCUGCCUUAAUUGUUUUCAUGACUGGCACGACAGGCGGUGCUCUCCUUGCCAUGCGUUAAUGAUCUAACGAGAAUCCCUACCUAUCGUUUAUCUGCCUAUCAAGCUAAAAGCUAGCUAUCUCCCUACCUAUCGUUUAGCUACCUAUGAAGGUAAUAGCUAUCUGUCUGCUGUCAUUUUGUAUUUAAGGGCACUCUAUAUCUGAGUAUUGUCUAUCUGUGGUGUCUGGGCAGAUGU
RNAcentral lists this ribosomal RNA (577 nucleotides) under Triticum aestivum (bread wheat). Its description in RNAcentral is "partial small subunit ribosomal RNA". The record is from RNAcentral. Lineage: Eukaryota; Viridiplantae; Streptophyta; Magnoliopsida; Poales; Poaceae.